RNAcentral lists this ribosomal RNA (584 nucleotides) under Bacillus sp. B84. RNAcentral describes it as "bacterial SSU rRNA". It matches the Rfam family "Bacterial small subunit ribosomal RNA", at positions 56 to 620 of the family's 1533-position model. Lineage: Bacteria; Bacillati; Bacillota; Bacilli; Caryophanales; Bacillaceae. The record is from RNAcentral.
UGCAAGUCUCAGCGAAUGACGAGGAGCUUGCUCCUCUGAUUUAGCGGCGGACGGGUGAGUAACACGUGGGUAACCUGCCUGUAAGACGGGGAUAACUCCGGGAAACCGGAGCUAAUACCGGAUGAUAACGAGAAGCGCCUGCUUCUUUUUUGAAAGUCGGUUUCGGCUGACGCUUACAGAUGGGCCCGCGGCGCAUUAGCUAGUUGGUGAGGUAACGGCUCACCAAGGCGACGAUGCGUAGCCKACCUGAGAGGGUGAUCGGCCACACUGGGCACUGAGACACGGCCCAGACUCCUACGGGAGGCAGCAGUAGGGAAUCUUCGGCAAUGGACGAAAGUCUGACCGAGCAACGCCGCGUGAGCGAUGAAGGCCUUCGGGUCGUAAAGCUCUGUUGUCAGAGAAGAACAAGUACCGGAGUAACUGCCGGUACCUUGACGGUACCUGACCAGAAAGCCACGGCUAACUACGUGMCAGCAGCCGCGGUAAUACGUAGGUGGCAAGCGUUAUCCGGAAUUAUUGGGCGUAAAGCGCGCGCAGGCGGUCNUUUUNAGUCUGAUGUGAAAGCCCACCGCUCAACNGUGGAG